RNAcentral lists this ribosomal RNA (571 nucleotides) under Ascochyta sp. OTU2 TS-2013. RNAcentral's name for it is "eukaryotic LSU rRNA". It matches the Rfam family "Eukaryotic large subunit ribosomal RNA", at positions 62 to 648 of the family's 3401-position model. Lineage: Eukaryota; Fungi; Ascomycota; Dothideomycetes; Pleosporales; Didymellaceae. The record is from RNAcentral.
AAACCAACAGGGAUUGCCCUAGUAACGGCGAGUGAAGCGGCAACAGCUCAAAUUUGAAAUCUGGCGUCUUUGGCGUCCGAGUUGUAAUUUGCAGAGGGCGCUUUGGCAUUGGCAGCGGUCCAAGUUCCUUGGAACAGGACGUCACAGAGGGUGAGAAUCCCGUACGUGGUCGCUAGCCUUUACCGUGUAAAGCCCCUUCGACGAGUCGAGUUGUUUGGGAAUGCAGCUCUAAAUGGGAGGUAAAUUUCUUCUAAAGCUAAAUACUGGCCAGAGACCGAUAGCGCACAAGUAGAGUGAUCGAAAGAUGAAAAGCACUUUGGAAAGAGAGUUAAAAAGCACGUGAAAUUGUUGAAAGGGAAGCGCUUGCAGCCAGACUUGCCUGUAGUUGCUCAUCCGGGUUUUUACCCGGUGCACUCUUCUAUAGGCAGGCCAGCAUCAGUUUGGGCGGUUGGAUAAAGGUCUCUGUCACGUACCUCCUCUCGGGGAGAACUUAUAGGGGAGACGUAAUGCAACCAGCCUGGACUGAGGUCCGCGNAUCUGCUAGGAUGCUGGCGUAAUGGCUGUAAGCGGC